This 735-nucleotide ribosomal RNA is filed under the name Apilactobacillus kunkeei. RNAcentral's name for it is "bacterial SSU rRNA". It matches the Rfam family "Bacterial small subunit ribosomal RNA", at positions 341 to 1066 of the family's 1533-position model. Lineage: Bacteria; Bacillati; Bacillota; Bacilli; Lactobacillales; Lactobacillaceae. The record is from RNAcentral.
UUUGCACACGCCAGAUAAGAAUCUUCCACAAUGGACGAAAGUCUGAUGGAGCAACGCCGCGUGAGUGAUGAAGGUUUUCGGAUCGUAAAACUCUGUUGUUAAAGAAGAACAAGUGUUAGAGUAACUGUUAACACUUUGACGGUAUUUAACCAGAAAGCCACGGCUAACUACGUGCCAGCAGCCGCGGUAAUACGUAGGUGGCAAGCGUUGUCCGGAUUUAUUGGGCGUAAAGCGAGCGCAGGCGGUUUUGUAAGUCUGCUGUGAAAGCCCUCAGCUCAACUGAGGAAGUGCAGUGGAAACUACAAAACUUGAGUACAGAAGAGGAAAGUGGAACUCCAUGUGUAGCGGUGAAAUGCGUAGAUAUAUGGAAGAACACCAGUGGCGAAGGCGGCUUUCUGGUCUGUUACUGACGCUGAGGCUCGAAAGCAUGGGUAGCGAACAGGAUUAGAUACCCUGGUAGUCCAUGCCGUAAACGAUGAAUACUAGGUGUUGGAGGGUUUCCGCCCUUCAGUGCCGCAGCUAACGCAUUAAGUAUUCCGCCUGGGGAGUACGACCGCAAGGUUGAAACUCAAAGGAAUUGACGGGGGCCCGCACAAGUGGUGGAGCAUGUGGUUUAAUUCGAUGCUACGCGAAGAACCUUACCAGCUCUUGACAUCUUCUGCCAACCCAAGAGAUUGGGCGUUCCCUUCGGGGACAGAAUGACAGGUGGUGCCAUGGUUGUCUCCCCUCUGGGGU